GGGCCGAUAGCUCAGCCGGGAGAGCGCCGCGUUCGCAAUGCGGAGGUCGAGGGUUCGAUCCCCUUUCGGUCCACCA
RNAcentral lists this transfer RNA (76 nucleotides) under Moraxellaceae bacterium. RNAcentral describes it as "tRNA-Ala". It matches the Rfam family "tRNA". Rfam says of the family: Transfer RNA (tRNA) molecules are approximately 80 nucleotides in length. Their secondary structure includes four short double-helical elements and three loops (D, anti-codon, and T loops). The record is from RNAcentral. Lineage: Bacteria; Pseudomonadati; Pseudomonadota; Gammaproteobacteria; Moraxellales; Moraxellaceae.